GAUCCAUUUGCAUUCAAACAAUUAAUGUACUUAAAUGUGUAAAACUAGUUGAUUGUUUUAAUUCAUCUAUGCUACUAGUUCUCAGUUACAUAAAUAGAUUGAUUUAUAGAAUUUUAGCACAAAAAUGAAUCCUAUGAUGAGAAAAACCUAGGUUAAGUGAUGUACCCAGCAUCAACCAACUAGUUAGUGAUGAAGCCAAGAUUCCUUGACUCUUAAUCAGUUUUUUCUUCCACAGCAUACUCUUCCUGAACAAUCUUAUUAUAAUAUUAAUUUCCUUAGCAAACUUUUCAAAACCAUAAAGGUAAAUGUCAGAUGUUGUUCACCUUAAAUCAUCACAAAUUGCUGAUUAACAGAGCUCAAUUUUAAAAGAUUUAACAUGUAUAUGUGUAUGUGUAUGUGUGUCUGUGUGUGUGUAUGUAUGUGUAAAUAUAGCUCAGUUUCAGGGUUAAAAAGGACCUCAGAUGCCAACAAACACUAUCCAUAUCUAGUUCAAUCUAUGUUGUAAAUUCACAAGUGUGGCAGCCUAUUAGACUCUGUUUGAUGAACUACAGAAAGGAAGAACCCUGUAUUUCCCAAGAAAAAUCCAAAUCUGCUCACCAGUGGACAUUGACAGACACCCAUAUUGUAUGUGAAACAAAGAAUGGUGACUCAGAUACUUCAGGAAAUUCUAAAGUUGAAUGACAAGAAGAGGAAGCUGAGAAAGAAAGACUAGGAGUCAGAAGAAUUAUUUGAAUCCUUUCUAUACUAUUUACUACAUGGGAAUCUUAGUCUCCAUCACUAUUUUCUCUGCCCUAGUUUUUUCUCAUUUGUAAAGCAAGUUUUUGAUUAUUAUAGGGUGGGUUUGGACUAGAUCAAGAGUUCUUAACCUUUUGAGUUAUGACUACAUCUGGCAGUCUGAUGAAACCUAUGGAUGCUUUCUCAAGAUAAUGUUUUUUAUGCCUAAAUAAGAUCCAUAAGAUUAUAAGGAGACCAUUUAUAUUUAACUAUAUAAAUAUAAACUCACAUGCACAUUUAUAUACUGUAUACACACAUAUAAGAUGCAUGUGUAUAAAUGUGUUUGUACUUAUAUCUGCAUCUAUACACAAAAACAUACACAAGUUCAUGAACUCCAAAUUAAAAAUUCUUGGAUUAGAAAUUUCUAAUGUCAUUUUCAAUUCUCAAGUUUCCAUGCUGCUAUUAUUCUACAGAAAACCCACACCAGAAUCUUUGUCUCAUGAUCUAAGUUUUAAGGCCCAUCUCUGACCUACAUAUAUUUCUCAUGCUGUUGCCUGGAAAAUGUUUUUUUUUUCAAGUGGUCAUUGGCUUGAUGAGAAUUCCUGAAUGAUGGUACACACAGUGAGAAAAGGUAACAUGCCAUUUUCCAUGAAGUCCAGCAUGGGGGGAGAAGGGAUGGGUAGGAAACACAGCUGCUGCAAAGCUAUUGUAAUUUUAGCUUUGUAACCAGCUUUUAGAGAUGCUUAAAAAAACCAACAGGAUCUACUGAACCACAGAGGCUGCUACCUAGUCUGAGCAGUUUUUCUUUUCAAAGGCCAAAUAGAUGACAGAACCUGCAAAGGCUUGCUUAAAAAGGAGGGCUCUCAUUUUAUAGAAUCUACUGUUCUGCCCUUCAAUUUUGAGAGGGGAGAAUUAGCCAGAAUCCUACCCAACACUGAAACAAAUGGAUGUAAAACAGAAUUGGUGAAACCUUUAUGUAUCCUCCAUCUCAGUAUUUGUCAGCUCCAUUAUUUUGUAAAUUAUUUUUAAUAUUUUUGUUAAUGUUGCUUAUUUAUAAACCUAUUUAAACAAAUCCCAGAUUGCCUAAGAACCAAGAAAAGUGCAGAAAAAACACCUUGUCUUUUCACCAUUACCCUAUUGCCUCAAAUUCCCAUAAAUGUAGAAUAUUGUAUAGAAUACUAGCCCUAAGAGACAGAAAAGAACUGGGUCCUGAUCCCAUUGUUAACAUUUAUUAAUUGUGCGAUGUUGGGAAAGUUCUAUGACCUCUCUAUGUCUCAUUGCCUCAGGCACAGGAUGAUAUUUUCCCCGCCAAAAAUCAGGGGACUAGAUCAAAUGAACUUUUGAAAUCCUUUCCCCUUUUUUGUAUCUAUGAUUUGGUAGCACAUAGGGAGUUACUAGUUCAGGAAAGAAUAACUAUCUUCUCUCCCUUAGAAGUAAAUGCUGAGAAAGGAAGAAACAAGCAGUGUGUAUGUGUAAACCAGAGGGGAAAAAAAUCACAGAAUCUCAGAUCUAGAAGGAAUGUCAAAGAUCAUCUUCAACAACCUAUACCUGAAGAGAAAUUCUCUCCAAAACAUCCUCCACAAGUGUUAGGCUGUAGCAUGAAGGCCUCCAGUGAUAGAGACCUCAUGAUCUCACAAGGCAGUCUGUUGUACUUUUGUACAGUUUUGAUUGUUAGAAAAAUUUGCUAUUGAUAGAAGUACUGUACAUUCAAGAUAUUUUCCUUUAAUGAAUAGUUUGGUGUAGGAGUGCAAAAAAUCUGUCUUUUAAAUUUCUACCUUAUUUGAAUCUUGGAAGGCAAAGGUGAACAAUUCUUGUUUUUCUUCCAUAUGACAGUCUUCAAAUAUUUGAAGAAAGUGAUUCUACUAUCCUUAACUCUCUUCUCCAAGUGAAGAAUUUCAAGAACUUUUAUGUAAUAUGUAUAUAAUUCAUGUAUCAGAGAUUUUCUCAUGACUUUGUGGGCUUUUAUUCACUUUUUUUGACUUCUUCCCCUCACCCAGGAAGUAUGAAAAAUUAUUUCAUAGUAAUUGCUAUUACACAAAAAUGGAAACAGAUCACUGGUUCACUCUCCCAGGAAUCUGUCCCCACUUUUAAGCAUGCAGUUUAGUAUGUUAUAAAGACAUUAAAAGGAGUCAAACAAAACCAUCUAGUUGGAAUGAACAAAUAUUAGUUCAAAAGAAAAUAAAAUAAGUAGAUUCACUUCUGGUGGAGCCACCUGCCUUCGCUAUUUUGUGUAGAGAUAGUACCCUAUUUUGAUCCCCCCAUCUCUCUCUCUCUCUCUCUGUGUCUGUCUGUGUCUCUCUCUGUCUCCCUGUCUUUAUAUCUGUGUCUCUGUGUCUGUCUGUCUGUCUAUCUAUCUCUUUCUCUCUCUCAUCUUAAGUCUUGUAGAUUAUUGGGUUUCUAAAUACAUCUAGAAUCUUUGAAUGUCUUCUCCCUUGUGAAAGAUGAGGGCCAAAAUAUUUGCUAGUUUCAUCUGUGUGCUGCUUUUUUCCUCAACUCUGACCUUCUGUAUCUCCCCAAUUCUAGUCAUAUCUAUCAUCUUGUAUUCCCCUUGAAUAGGACAUCUAAUUUAUCCUACUUACUCAAAUGGAAAAAAAAGGGGGGAAGGAGAUACAUGUAUCUAGUCUUAGUCUUGAUCAUCCUAGUAACCCACCUUUGGCUGUAAAAUAGCCAUCUCUCCUAAAAUGUUUUGAGUCAAACCAAAAAAAUGUUCCAGAUGCGAUCUGAACCAUUACCAGUUUUUAAAAGAAUAUCACAACACUAUUAAAACAGACUAUAGUCAUGAUAUUUUUUUCUUUUAGAUGGCAUUCUUCACUUGUAUUUAUCUUACCAUGCUGUAAAACCUCUAAUUCUUUUCCAUAUGAACUGUUGUCUAGCUACUUCUCCCCUAUCGUAUACAUCGAACCUGUGUUAAACUUUAAUUUUAUUUUUAAUAAAUUUCAUCUUAUUUGUUUAGAUCCAUAAUUCUAGUGUGUGAGAUCCUUUCAGAGCUUGAUUGUCUCAUCUGUUAUUGUUUCUAUCUUUGUCAUUUGUAAUAUUGCAGAACAAUAACAUCUUUACCUUUAUCCUUAUCCCAGAUAUUGAUAAAAAUCAUGUUAAACAGCACAAAACUAAGGACCUGGAGCCUUCUAUUAGAGACUUGCUUCCAAGUUGACUUUAAAACAAUAAAAUUGAAAAAACCCAAAACAGAGGACAGAUUCAUGGGAGAGCACACCAGUGAUCUUUUUCCACUUUGACAUUAAUCUAUUAACAAAUACUUUUUGGUAGCCAUUCAACCUACACCAAAUGGAAAUAAUUGCCAUUUAGGGCACACGUUUCUAUUUUUUUAUUUCAUUUAAAAGACUUUUAUGCAGGAUAUAAAAUAAACACACACAAAUCACCAGCAUUUCUAUAUAGCACUGACAAAGCCCAUUACCAAAAGAUAUAAAGAGAAAUCCCAUUUAAAAUAACUGUAGCUAAAAUAAAAUUUUUGAGGAUCUUUCUGCCAAGAAAGACACAAGAACUAUAUGAACACAGUUACAAAACACUUCUCAUACAAAUAAAGUCAGAUCUAAACAACUGAAAAAAAAUAUCAAUUGCUCAUGGGUAGGCCAAGCUAAUAUGAUAAAAGUGGCAAUUCUGCCUAAAUUGAUCUAUAGUGCCAUAGGAAUCAAACUGCCAAAAACUUAUUUUUAGAAGUAGAAGAGGCAGUUAAAUGGUGCAGUGGAUAGAGCACCAGCCAAGUAGUCAGGAGGACCUAAGUUCAAAUCUGGCCUCAGCCAACUUAAUAUUUCAUAGCUGUGUGACCCUGGGCAAGUCAUUUAACCCCAAUUGCCUCAGGAAAAAAACCUAAAAAUAAACAAUAAUAAAAUUCAUCAGCAAGAACAAAAGGUCAACAAAAGAUGGUGACUUAGCAGUACUAAACCUAAAAUUAUAUUAUAGCAGCAGUCAUCAAAACCAUUUGGUUAAGAAAAAGAGUAUUGGAUUGGUGGAAUCAAUUAAAUGCAUAUGACACAAUAAUCAAGGCCUAUAAUAAUCUUGUAUUUAAUGACACCCAAACUCCAGGUUCUGGGAUAAGAACUCAGUAUUUGACAAAAAUUACUGGAAAACUAAGUCAGCAUUGACCUACAUCUCACACUCCAUGACAAAAUAAGGUCAAAAUGGAUACAUGAUUUGGGCAUAAAGGAUGAUACCAUAAACAAAUUAAGAGAACAAGGAAUAAUUUACCUAUCAGAUCUUUGGCGGAGGGAGGAAUUUAUGACCAAAGAUGUACUAGAGAACAUAACGAAAGGCAAAAUAGACAACUUUGAUUAUAUUAAAUUAAAAAGGUUUUGCACAAGCAUUAUAAUUCUAGAAAUAUGUAUAGAAGAAUUGGCCAUGUUUACAUAUACUGCAUUACUUGCCAUCUAUGGGAGGGAGUACGAGAAAGAGAGGGAAAACAAAAUUUGGAACACAAGGUAUUACAAAGAUGAAUAUUGCAAAUUAUUUAUGUAUAUGUUUUGAAAAUAAAAAUCUUUAAUAGUAAAAGUUUUUCACAAUCAAAUCCAACAGAAACAAGAUUAAAAGGGAAGUACAAAGCUGGGAAAAAUCUUUAUAGACAAUUUUCUAAUAAAGGUCUCAUUUCUAAAAUAUAUAAAGAAUUGUGUCAAAUUUAUAAGAAUAUAAGUCAUUCCCCAAAUGACAAACAGUGAAAGGAUAUUAACAGACAAUUUUCAGAUGACAAAAUUAAAGCCAUCUAUAGGCAUAUGGAAAAAUGCUCUAAAUCACCAUUGAUUAGAGAAAUGAAAUUAAAACAACUCUGAGAUUCCACUUCACAAUUCUCAGAUUGGCUAAAAUGGCAGGAAAAGAUAAUGAUAAAUGUUGGAGGGGAUGUGAGAAAAUUGGUACACUAAUGCAUUGCUGAUGGAGUUGUGAAAUUAUCCACCCAUUCUGGAGAGCAAUCAGAAAUUAUGGUCAAAAGACUAUCAAACUGUGCAUACCCUUUGAACUACUAGUGCCACUACUGGGUCUAUCUCCCAAGGAAAUUGUAAAGAAAGACACAGGAGCCAUAUGUGCAAAAAAUGUUUAUAGCAACUCUUUUUGUGGUAGCAAAAAAUCAAAAAUGAGUGGAUGUCCAUCACUGUGGGAAUGGUUGAAUAAGUUGUGGUAUAUGAAGAUAAUGGAAUAUUAUUGUUCUAUAAAAAAUGAUGAACAAGAUGAUUUUAGAAAAACCUGAUAAGAUUUGUAUGAACUGAUGCUGAGUGAAACAAGCAAGAUCAAGAAUACAUUGUACACAAUGACAGCAAGAAUGUGAUGUUUACUAUGAAAGACUUGGUUCUUCUCAGUGGUUCAGAGAUCCAAAGUAAUCCCAACAGACUUUAGAAAGAAAAUGCCAUCUGUAACCAGAAAAAGAUCUGUGGAGACUGAAUGUAAAUCAAUGCAUGCUAUGUUCAAUUCUUUUUUCUGAUUUUAUUUUUCUCUCCCAUGGUUUUCCUGUUUUGCUCUGAUUUUUCUCUCCUAACAUAAUUCAUAAAGC
Molecule: long non-coding RNA, 6205 nt
Organism: Sarcophilus harrisii (Tasmanian devil)
Lineage: Eukaryota; Metazoa; Chordata; Mammalia; Dasyuromorphia; Dasyuridae
Source: Ensembl